Molecule: long non-coding RNA, 3620 nt
Organism: Bombus terrestris (buff-tailed bumblebee)
Lineage: Eukaryota; Metazoa; Arthropoda; Insecta; Hymenoptera; Apidae
Exons: 3
Source: RefSeq, a predicted model, not a curated record
AUGUUAACUUUUAUCGAGAUUGUAGUAUAAGCGUACUUAUGUAUAUUUAAUAUGUAGGAUAUUUUAAUAUGUUUGUAAUAAGUACACAUAAUUGGUAUAUUUAUACUUUGUCUUUAAUUAUAAUUAUCCGUGUAUAGUACGGGGUUACUGUAUAAAUUUAGUCGGUCACCAAUUAACCUUCAAUCUGAAGAUCCUCAUUAACUUUUUGCAUUACUCAGAAUUAUUUGUUUCGUCGAUUAACAAAUUUCCCCCGUGCUUUCUAAGAAAAUUAUGCAACAAUUACGCAUCUUGCCUUUUUUUCCUGCUCAAUUACGAUAAUUCAUCGUACGUAAAAUAAUAGAUUACCUUAUGAAGGAUAUACCAAAGUUUCCAUUGUUUGCAUAUACAAUAAAUAAUAGUGUGUGUCAUUGUUAUAUAUAUUAAAAGGUAUUUUUGUUGCUUUUGUGCUACUUCAUCUACGAGAAGAACAACAUACGCAUGCAUAUCAAGACAUUCGGUCGUGUUCCAUCGUGAAUUUUCCUUUUUUCAAUCCCAUUCCCUCUCUUGGCGUAAGAACAGCACAAAACAAUAUCGGUAACGAUAUGAACAACCAAGAGAAAAAGAAGACAGCGCGAAAAGGGCGGAAAAGAAAAGGAACAGAGGUAGGAAAAAAGUUCGAUUACGCGGCGUCAUCGGACCAGCAUUGGUGCGUUUCACGGCUGUUUGCGUCGAUUCCUUUUUUCCUUUUCUGGCGCGCAUUUCACACCGCCAACUUUAAUGAGAUACGCACGGAGGUGUGCAUUAUCGACUCGUGGGGCAGGGGAGCGUAGCCGGUCGCUUUGCCCGGCGGAACGCGAUUGUCGCCGUUGAAAUUUUCAUGCGCGACUUGUCCGAACCUAUGUAUAAGUUGCGUAUACACUUCAACGACCAUGGAGACGGCCACAGUUUCACCAGGCUUGUCGUGUCCCGAGAAUUCUCACGUUAUCUUUUUCCUCUUCUCUUUGUUUCUUCUCUUGCUACAUUUUUCUCCUACCUUCAUCCUCUUGUUACAUUUUUCUUCUUCCUUCAUCCUCUUGCUACAUAUUUCUUCUUCCUUCAUCCUCUUGCCUACUUUAUUUUUCGUUGCGCGCAUGUAGCCGUGAUGCGAUUGUCUUACUUUAUGCGCUACACGAUGACGCAACUUUGCGCGAUAUGCUUAUUAACCCUUAGCGGAUGAAACGAAGCUGAAAAACGUCGGUAUUUAUAAAACUAUUCCAAACUUAUAAAAAUAAUCCGCUGUGUGUCAGCUACAGUUACGCUUAUUAGGAAAGAAAUUUUGAGAUGUAAAGAUAUUUUCCCGGCAAUCGUUACCGGCGGAUCGGAUUAUGUUCGUUAAGGGUUGAAAGAUUAUUUCGUUAUAUACUUGUUUGUAAUAGUGUUUGAUCUUCAUAGUCGUUGCAUAACAAGCAAUGAUCUAAAUAAUGGUGAGAUUUUACAUCGAAAUUUAAAACAAGUAUAUAAAGAAAUAAUCUUUCAACCCUCAACGAAAAUAACCCGGUCCGUCUGUAACGAUUCCCGGGAAAAUAUCAAGCUCUUUGCAUCUCAAAACUUCUUUCCCUUCUUCUCUUUUUCCUUGUUCAAAGAUAAACGGUACUAGAAACCGAAUCCUCGGACGGGAUAUGAAUCACACGUCGGAAUCCAGUGCAAUCUGUCUGCCAGACGGUUUGCUUCCGGUGUCGUUUAUCGAGUACGCGGCGAUCGGAUAGAACACGCGUGGCUGUGUACUGUGUAUACACGCACACGAGGAAUCCCGAUGGAAUCCCGACGGAAUAGGCUAAGAGAGCACUUGAGGAUGCCUAGUCUCUGGCAGUGAAUGGCGGCACGAGUGGCGGACAUUUCGGUGCCUCCAAAGCUCAUUGGUCCGCAGCUGACGUGUACAAGGAAAUGGCAUUUAACGGAUUAAAAGCGGCCAUCCAGACAACUAACGCAAUGGUUCCCGAUAACGGCUGGCUAGAGCUAGAAUAUUUUUUCCCCGUUCCCCUUCUACCCUUUUCUUUCUUUUUUUUUGUUGUGUUUUUCUACUUUUUGCUUUUUGCUUCUAUUUUUCCCCGUGUUUCUUUUUUGAAUCGUUUUUUGGUUUCUCGUCGAGCAUUCGUUUUUUUUUUCAUCCCGGGCUCGCUUCGCUCGCGUACACGCGCGACCAGCCUAUUGAUUUCGCGCAAAGUGCCGGCCAUUCCAACCUACGAAUCACUUUACUUCGAUCGAACCAUCACCGAUAAGGAUAUCGACGAUACUCGCGAUUUCACGAAGAAACUCGAAGAAAAUGAUGGAUCGUGGCACUCGGUUAAAUGGAGAACACUCCUGCGGACGCAGAAAGGGUGUAUCAUAAUUUAAGACCUGUUCGCUGCGCUGAUGCUAGUUCGCUGAGUAGGUGUUACGAUUGAUGGUUGUUGGGAGUUUGAACAUGUUUUAUACGGUGAAGUUUUGUGGUUAACACCAGGUCUGGAGGAAUCAUUCUGAGAAUUUACGGCGAGCUUGUUGCCAAAACCACUGGUGUAAAGAAAGGGAACUCGCAGACAUAAAGGAGACGGAGACUUGCGACGAUAAUGGCCCUCUCAGACGAAGAAGUUAAUUUGGGAAAGAGGAUUCCGUCGCGGACAAAACGCUUGUAAUCCUUAACAAAGGGUGGUCUCAACUUCCCUAGCCUGCGUUGUCCCGAGGAUGGUAAUCUGCAAAGAGGGAGAACGGUCCCUCCAAGUUGAUUCUUCGUUCCUCGUGUUUGACAGUGGGGGAGGUUUGUUAUCGACGGACAACGUUUUAAGAAUUUUUGUUUGAUUGGAAUCAAAGGUGUCAAUAUAUGCAUUGCUUUUUAAUAAUAAUAUUGAUUUAAAGAGGAAGAAAUGAACUUUAUUGUAAAAAUAAAUUUCCCUUUUAUCGUAUUGAACAAUGUAUUUAUAUCUCUAUAUUGUUCAAGAUAAUUAAAGGAUUGUUUUCUGUGAUUUUUAUAUUCUUGUUUGAUUGGAAUCAAAGGUGUCAAUAUAUGCAUUGCUUUUUAAUAAUAAUAUUGAUUUAGGGAGGAAGAAAUGGACUUUAUUGUAAAAAUAAAUUUCCCUUUUAUCGUAUUGAACAAUGUGUUUAUAUCUCUAUACUGUUCAAGAUAAUUAAAGGAUUGUUUUCUAUGAUUUUUAUAUUCAUUACUUGUAAAUUUAUUAGUAUGUAUGCUUUAACCAUAAUUUUUAUUAUGAUUCAUCCUCUUGUAUUUAAUUUCUCAUGGUUUUUAGUUUUUAUAUUUAUAAAGCAUACAAUCAAGCCUUGAAAUGAAAAUAUAUUACACGUGCCGUAGGUAUACUACAUUCAUAAUAAAUAAUUAUAUCCCUUUCUUUCUGUUCUCCUCGAAACAAAUGUUUAUGCGUUGCUUAAGCUGCUCAUAUGGUUUGUUCAUUUUUUAUAAUUAUUAGGUUACAUAAGUGAAAAAUCUCUACGUAAAUGGAGCAACUCUUAAAAUGCUAACAAAUGCAUUUAUGUAUUUUUUCAUAUCACGAAUAUUAUGAACAUUUAUGAUGAUAAUUUUAAAAUUUGUUUUGAGUAUGGAAAUAAACGUGUACGUGUAGGUGUAUAUUCAUGUUAUAACGUUAAUAAAGAUGUACGCGAACGAAUAGAGA